AUCCAUAUGCAAAUUAACACAGCGCUAGGAGGCUAUAUUUUUAUUAUAAAAAUUAUUUAAUUAUAUAUUUUUUUUGAUAUAGAUGGAUGCUGACGCUAAUCUAACAUGAAAGUACAUUCUAAAAGAUUAAAAAGUAAAAUAUCUUAUAAAGCUUGCGAGCAAGUUUGAUCUGUCGUCAAAUCUAGUUACCAGUAUAUUCAACUACAUAGGAGGUGAUCCAAUCAACGGCGUUGUUUGCCUCCUGAAAGAUAUGUUGAGCAGACACCAUAACAAAAUCUCAAAGACGGAUAUCAUGAAGGAGCAAAUGAACCUCCAAUUGUAUCAUGUCGUUUCGAAUCUAGCCUAUCACGAUGGUAGAGUUUCCCUCAAUGAUAAUUCUCUCUAUUUGUAGCUCCUAUCAACUACAAAUAAUGCCAGUCCAAACAUGUUCAAUUUUUGAGACAGAAAAUUCAAAGAGAUAUGAAAUGCCACCACAAGCAAUCUGGCAUUCAGUCUCCAGAUGAUAAAACUAAUACUAUCCUUGCCAUCUCUAACAUUAUCAUUGAAAUUUACCUUAAUAAAUCCCGAAGGAAG
This 573-nucleotide long non-coding RNA is filed under the name Elaeis guineensis (African oil palm). Its description in RNAcentral is "long non-coding RNA (EGUI_LNC011784)". Lineage: Eukaryota; Viridiplantae; Streptophyta; Magnoliopsida; Arecales; Arecaceae. The record is from RNAcentral.